AAAUUGAAGAGUUUGAUCAUGGCUCAGAUUGAACGCUGGCGGCAGGCCUAACACAUGCAAGUCGAACGGUAACAGGAAGCAGCUUGCUGCUUUGCUGACGAGUGGCGGACGGGUGAGUAAUGUCUGGGAAACUGCCUGAUGGAGGGGGAUAACUACUGGAAACGGUAGCUAAUACCGCAUAAUGUCGCAAGACCAAAGAGGGGGACCUUCGGGCCUCUUGCCAUCGGAUGUGCCCAGAUGGGAUUAGCUAGUAGGUGGGGUAAAGGCUCACCUAGGCGACGAUCCCUAGCUGGUCUGAGAGGAUGACCAGCCACACUGGAACUGAGA
RNAcentral lists this ribosomal RNA (327 nucleotides) under Escherichia coli. RNAcentral describes it as "bacterial SSU rRNA". It matches the Rfam family "Bacterial small subunit ribosomal RNA", at positions 1 to 324 of the family's 1533-position model. Lineage: Bacteria; Pseudomonadati; Pseudomonadota; Gammaproteobacteria; Enterobacterales; Enterobacteriaceae. The record is from RNAcentral.